GUGCAAAUGAUGUAAACUUUUUAAAAUCUGAAUGUUAUUGAUGCAUUCAAAGGAACCACUGAUGCCA
RNAcentral lists this small nucleolar RNA (67 nucleotides) under Echeneis naucrates (live sharksucker). RNAcentral describes it as "Small nucleolar RNA SNORD42 (ENSENLG00000007883.1)". It matches the Rfam family "Small nucleolar RNA SNORD42". From Rfam's summary of the family: snoRNA U42 is found in intron 3 of the ribosomal protein L23a (RPL23a) gene in humans and is also present in mice. U42 is a member of the C/D class of snoRNA which contain C (UGAUGA) and D (CUGA) box motifs. The record is from Rfam by way of RNAcentral. Lineage: Eukaryota; Metazoa; Chordata; Actinopteri; Carangiformes; Echeneidae.